Molecule: ribosomal RNA, 1144 nt
Filed under: Lactiplantibacillus plantarum
Lineage: Bacteria; Bacillati; Bacillota; Bacilli; Lactobacillales; Lactobacillaceae
Description: bacterial SSU rRNA
Rfam family: Bacterial small subunit ribosomal RNA
Source: RNAcentral
UGCUAGUCGAACGAGCUCUGGUAUUGAUUGGUGCUUGCAUCAUGAUUUACAUUUGAGUGAGUGGCGAACUGGUGAGUAACACGUGGGAAACCUGCCCAGAAGCGGGGGAUAACACCUGGAAACAGAUGCUAAUACCGCAUAACAACUUGGACCGCAUGGUCCGAGUUUGAAAGAUGGCUUCGGCUAUCACUUUUGGAUGGUCCCGCGGCGUAUUAGCUAGAUGGUGAGGUAACGGCUCACCAUGGCAAUGAUACGUAGCCGACCUGAGAGGGUAAUCGGCCACAUUGGGACUGAGACACGGCCCAAACUCCUACGGGAGGCAGCAGUAGGGAAUCUUCCACAAUGGACGAAAGUCUGAUGGAGCAACGCCGCGUGAGUGAAGAAGGGUUUCGGCUCGUAAAACUCUGUUGUUAAAGAAGAACAUAUCUGAGAGUAACUGUUCAGGUAUUGACGGUAUUUAACCAGAAAGCCACGGCUAACUACGUGCCAGCAGCCGCGGUAAUACGUAGGUGGCAAGCGUUGUCCGGAUUUAUUGGGCGUAAAGCGAGCGCAGGCGGUUUUUUAAGUCUGAUGUGAAAGCCUUCGGCUCAACCGAAGAAGUGCAUCGGAAACUGGGAAACUUGAGUGCAGAAGAGGACAGUGGAACUCCAUGUGUAGCGGUGAAAUGCGUAGAUAUAUGGAAGAACACCAGUGGCGAAGGCGGCUGUCUGGUCUGUAACUGACGCUGAGGCUCGAAAGUAUGGGUAGCAAACAGGAUUAGAUACCCUGGUAGUCCAUACCGUAAACGAUGAAUGCUAAGUGUUGGAGGGUUUCCGCCCUUCAGUGCUGCAGCUAACGCAUUAAGCAUUCCGCCUGGGGAGUACGGCCGCAAGGCUGAAACUCAAAGGAAUUGACGGGGGCCCGCACAAGCGGUGGAGCAUGUGGUUUAAUUCGAAGCUACGCGAAGAACCUUACCAGGUCUUGACAUACUAUGCAAAUCUAAAAGAUUAGACGUUCCCUUCGGGGACAUGGAUACAGGUGGUGCAUGGUUGUCGUCAGCUCGUGUCGUGAGAUGUUGGGUUAAGUCCCGCAACGAGCGCAACCCUUAUUAUCAGUUGCCAGCAUUAAGUUGGGCAUUCUGGUGAAAAUGCCGGUGACAAACCGG